This 216-nucleotide ribosomal RNA is filed under the name uncultured Glomus. RNAcentral describes it as "partial small subunit ribosomal RNA". It matches the Rfam family "Eukaryotic small subunit ribosomal RNA", at positions 569 to 787 of the family's 1831-position model. Lineage: Eukaryota; Fungi; Glomeromycota; Glomeromycetes; Glomerales; Glomeraceae. The record is from RNAcentral.
AGCAGCCGCGGUAAUUCCAGCUCCAAUAGCGUAUAUUAAAGUUGUUGCAGUUAAAAAGCUCGUAGUUGAAUUUCGGGGUUAGCAAGUUGGUCGUGCCUUUGGUAUGCACUGGCUUUGCUGAUUCCUCCUUCUUGAAGAACUGUGAUGCUAUUAAUUUGGUGUUGCAGGGAAACAGGACUGUUACUUUGAAAAAAUUAGAGUGUUUAAAGCAGGCUA